CUUUGAAAUGAUUCAAGAUGAUUCGCAUAAUGGAGGGUAUAUCUAAGUAAGUAUGACCAUCUUUAACAAUAGAAGAGAUUAAGUUCUUCCUUCUUCUAUUGGCACAACAAAUAUGAAAGAACCAUGUUUUUUUGUCUCCUAGCCUACACAAGGUGAGCCUUGAUUUGUGGCACCAAAUGCUUUCAUUCCUGGCUAUCCAAGCUUGCACAUCAGCUUUUAAUUAUUGGACGGUGAUCAGUUCUAAAGGAGAGAGGUCUUGAGAUUCUGCUGG
RNAcentral lists this unclassified non-coding RNA (271 nucleotides) under Hevea brasiliensis (rubber tree). Lineage: Eukaryota; Viridiplantae; Streptophyta; Magnoliopsida; Malpighiales; Euphorbiaceae. The record is from RNAcentral.